CGAUACGAUGCCCUCCCUGGCUGUCCUGUAACUUUUCCACGAGCAGGAAGGCAUCCGGGGAGGCGGGAGAUCCCGAACAGGUGGUUGGGGCCCCUGCGAAUAAAACUCUGGAUCCUAUUGAAGUUGCCUCCAGAUGACAGCGAAUAAUUUCUUGGUACCAUUUGGAAGUGAGUUGCAGGCAUGCACCUUCAACCUAAGACAGAAAGGACCCAACCUGAGCAGCAAAGGAUUGCUGCCGAGGAAAAGUCGUCCCCACACCCCGGAGGCCCCCAUGCCCCACUGCAGCCCCCCUGGGAUCUUUUCUUCCCAUCCCAGGUCCAGCUCAGCCCCAUUCGGCAUGUGACUGUCCUGUGACUUCUGUGUCCCUUGGUGAAGGAGAGAACCCCAGACUGGCCAUUCCUCCACAUUAUCCGCGAUCUCAUCAAAAUAUCCAUUUCCUUAGCAGGAUGUCAGAGAAGAAAAAAAACCCCAGCUUCCUGCAAAGCAUGUGGGAGGCUACAGCACUCCUGUGGGUGUGACAGCGACAGUCACCAAGGCCUCAGUGAAGGAAAGCAGCAGCCAGACACAGGCCGUGGCCGGGUGCUCACAGCGGCCACAAGGCAGAGACACUCCUGGGUGUCCACCAGCAGGUGCAAGUGGUGCACCCACACACGGAGCAUCAGUUAGCCAAGGAGUGGAGUCCUGCCACAUGCUCCACGUGCACAGACCCCGAACCCAUGGUGCUCAGUGAGACACCAGACACAGAAGGCCACAUAGUGUGCGACCCCAUUUCUGUGGAACGUCCACAGCAGGAGAAUCCACAGACAAAAUAUAGGCUUGUGGGUCCCGGGGAAGGGUUGGGGUGACUGCUCAUGGGGAUAGGGCUUCUUUUUGGGAGAUGGAAUGUUCUGAAACUGGAUAGAGGUGGUGGUUACACGACUGUGAAUGCUCUACAAAUGAGUGAAUUAUAUACUCUUUAAAAGGGUGAAUUGUGUGGCACAUGAAUUACAUCUCAAUGAAAAUGUUACCCCUGAAAAAGCAGAAGAUUCUGGGGUGGUUGUGUUCACAUCCACCUGCCCCCCCAGUGCCAGGCAUGCUGGUCACACUGCUGGCAGCCCAGCCCAACCCACUGCUUGCCUGCUGCUGGGCUCCCCCCAAACCCCAGAAAUACAGCCUCUGUUUUGUAAGUGGGGACCAGGCUUGCCUGAGGUCAGGCAGCUGGCAUGGGGCACAAG
Molecule: long non-coding RNA, 1214 nt
Organism: Manis pentadactyla (Chinese pangolin)
Lineage: Eukaryota; Metazoa; Chordata; Mammalia; Pholidota; Manidae
Exons: 3
Source: RefSeq, a predicted model, not a curated record